GAUGAACGCUGGCGGCGUACCUAAUACAUGCAAGUCGAGCGAACGGACGAGAAGCUUGCUUCUCUGAUGUUAGCGGCGGAAGGGUGAGUAACACGUGGAUAACCUACCUAUAAGACUGGGAUAACUUCGGGAAACCGGAGCUAAUACCGGAUAAUAUUUUGAACCGCAUGGUUCAAAAGUGAAAGACGGUCUUGCUGUCACUUAUAGAUGGAUCCGCGCUGCAUUAGCUAGUUGGUAAGGUAACGGCUUACCAAGGCAACGAUGCAUAGCCGACCUGAGAGGGUGAUCGGCCACACUGGGACUGAGACACGGUCCAGACUCCUACGGGAGGCAGCAGUAGGGAAUCUUCCGCAAUGGGCGAAAGCCUGACGGAGCAACGCCGCGUGAGUGAUGAAGGUCUUCGGAUCGUAAAACUCUGUUGUUAGGAAAGAACAUAUGUGUAAGUAACUGUGCACAUCUUGACGGUACCUAAUCAAAAAGCCACGGCUAACUACGUG
RNAcentral lists this ribosomal RNA (497 nucleotides) under uncultured bacterium. RNAcentral describes it as "partial 16S ribosomal RNA". It matches the Rfam family "Bacterial small subunit ribosomal RNA", at positions 28 to 507 of the family's 1533-position model. The record is from RNAcentral.